CCUACGGGAGGCUGCAGUGAGGAAUAUUGGUCAAUGGCCUGAAGGCUGAACCAGCCAAGCCGCGUGAAGGACGACGGUGCCAAGCAUUGUAAACUUCUUUUGUCAAGGGACAAAAUCAGGCACGAGAGCCUGACCGAGGGUACUUGAAGAAAAAGCAUCGGCUAACUCCGUGCCAGCAGCCGCGGUAAUACGGAGGAUGCGAGCGUUAUCCGGAUUUAUUGGGUUUAAAGGGUGCGUAGGCGGGCUGUUAAGUCAGCGGUAAAAGCCCGGGGCUCAACCCCGGCGAGCCGUUGAAACUGGCGGUCUUGAGAUGUCGAGAGGUAUGCGGAAUGCGCAGUGUAGCGGUGAAAUGCUUAGAUAUUGCGCAGAACUCCGAUUGCGAAGGCAGCAUACCGGCGGCGAUCUGACGCUGAGGCACGAAAGCGUGGGUAUCGAACAGGAUUAGAUACCCUAGUAGUC
Molecule: ribosomal RNA, 459 nt
Filed under: uncultured bacterium
Lineage: Bacteria
Description: partial 16S ribosomal RNA
Rfam family: Bacterial small subunit ribosomal RNA
Source: RNAcentral